This 237-nucleotide ribosomal RNA is filed under the name uncultured bacterium. RNAcentral describes it as "partial 16S ribosomal RNA". It matches the Rfam family "Bacterial small subunit ribosomal RNA", at positions 524 to 761 of the family's 1533-position model. The record is from RNAcentral.
UACAGAGGGGGCAAGCGUUGUUCGGAAUUACUGGGCGUAAAGGGCGCGUAGGCGGCUUGAUAAGCGUGCGGUGAAAGCCCGGGCUCAACCCCGGGUCGGCCGUGCGAACUGUCGAGCUGGAGCACUGUAGAGGCAGGUGGAAUUCCGGGUGUAGCGGUGGAAUGCGUAGAGAUCCGGAAGAACACCGGUGGCGAAGGCGGCCUGCUGGGCAGUGGCUGACGCUGAGGCGCGACAGCG